GCACAACGCGAAGAACCUUACCAAGGCUUGACAUACACGAGAACGGGCCAGAAAUGGUCAACUCUUUGGACACUCGUGAACAGGUGGUGCAUGGUUGUCGUCAGCUCGUGUCGUGAGAUGUUGGGUUAAGUCCCGCAACGAGCGCAACCCUCGUUCUAUGUUGCCAGCACGUAAUGGUGGGAACUCAUGGGAUACUGCCGGGGUCAACUCGGAGGAAGGUGGGGAUGACGUCAAAUCAUCAUGCCCCUUAUGUCUUGGGCUUCACGCAUGCUACAAUGGCCGGUACAAAGGGCUGCAAUACCGUGAGGUGGAGCGAAUCCCAAAAGCCGGUCCCAGUUCGGAUUGAGGUCUGCAACUCGACCUCAUGAAGUCGGAGUCGCUAGUAAUCGCAGAUCAGCAACGCUGCGGUGAAUACGUUCCCGGGUCUUGUACACACCG
RNAcentral lists this ribosomal RNA (438 nucleotides) under uncultured bacterium. Its description in RNAcentral is "bacterial SSU rRNA". It matches the Rfam family "Bacterial small subunit ribosomal RNA", at positions 954 to 1392 of the family's 1533-position model. The record is from RNAcentral.